RNAcentral lists this ribosomal RNA (253 nucleotides) under uncultured bacterium. Its description in RNAcentral is "partial 16S ribosomal RNA". It matches the Rfam family "Bacterial small subunit ribosomal RNA", at positions 524 to 776 of the family's 1533-position model. The record is from RNAcentral.
UACGUAGGGUGCGAGCGUUAAUCGGAAUUACUGGGCGUAAAGCGUACGCAGGCGGCUUUGCAAGACAGGUGUGAAAUCCCCGGGCCUAACCUGGGAACUGCAUUUGUGACUGCAUGGCUAGAGUUUGCCAGAGGGGGGUGGAAUUCCACGUGUAGCAGUGAAAUGCGUAGAUAUGUGGAGGAACACCGAUGGCGAAGGCAGCCCCCUGGGAUGUGACUGACGCUCAUGUACGAAAGCGUGGGGAGCAAACAGG